This 645-nucleotide long non-coding RNA is filed under the name Homo sapiens (human). Its description in RNAcentral is "HSALNT0364163". Lineage: Eukaryota; Metazoa; Chordata; Mammalia; Primates; Hominidae. The record is from RNAcentral.
GGAGUUAAUAACUGCUCUGUUUGUUCACUUACUUGGUCUUCUAUAUAUACCUGUUUCUUCCCAAAUAGGGAGCCCAGAAUUUAAAAAACUAAUUAUUUGUUGACCACAGCAAACUAAUUAUUGUUUCCCAAUGGUAUUCUAAGUUUUCUCUUUAGUUAUCCAUACUAUUAUUAUUUCUUCUGUCCUUUUUUCACUGUUACACCAGAGUGGAGGUUGCAGUGAGCUGAGUUCAUGCCACUGCACUGCAACCUGUGCGACAAGAGUGAGCUCUGUCUCAAAAAAAAAAAAAAAAAAAAAAGUUCAAAUGGUCAUAUUUGUAGUCUGUUUUUAAAAUCAAGUAAUGGAAUAAAUAGGUUUUUAGAGAUAAUGGGUUGGAGGCAAUUUGGAAGGUUUAUUUAGGUUGUCAGAAGACUAGUGUUGAGGGUGAUGGUUUGUGGGGAUUUAAAAAAUCCUCAGACUAUUUGAAAUUAGGGUAGUAACAAGUCCCAGGAUAUAUGUAUGAGUUUAACAUCUAUGUAGAGAUUAAAAUGUAGAAGCAUGUCUAAUCAACUUUUUUUGGCUGUAUAAUGUCCUAUAACUUAGCUGUUAACUGCUUAACUCACUGCUGAGUACAUAUUGAACGUGCAAUAUAUAUUUUAUUUCUGG